This 238-nucleotide long non-coding RNA is filed under the name Elaeis guineensis (African oil palm). Its description in RNAcentral is "long non-coding RNA (EGUI_LNC003331)". Lineage: Eukaryota; Viridiplantae; Streptophyta; Magnoliopsida; Arecales; Arecaceae. The record is from RNAcentral.
UAUCGAUCCCUAGAUUCAUUGCAAGGUUGCAUGCUGGAAUACCUAUCAAUUACUAAACUAUUUUUUGAAAUAUUAUAAAGUUUGUUACACCAGUAUUGUCCUCAACAAUAGUGUUCAAUUUAUACCUAACAAAGUCAUAGUAUAAUUGCAUUUAUCUAAGGAAGUAUUCCAUCAAGUUUUAAAUUGCCAAGUCAAAAUUAUUUUACAAAUAUUUUAAUCAUACCAUAGUACUAGAGGC